GGUUAAGCGACUAAGCGUACACGGUGGAUGCCCUGGCAGUCAGAGGCGAUGAAGGACGUGCUAAUCUGCGAUAAGCGUCGGUAAGGUGAUAUGAACCGUUAUAACCGGCGAUUUCCGAAUGGGGAAACCCAGUGUGUUUCGACACACUAUCAUUAACUGAAUCCAUAGGUUAAUGAGGCGAACCGGGGGAACUGAAACAUCUAAGUACCCCGAGGAAAAGAAAUCAACCGAGAUUCCCCCAGUAGCGGCGAGCGAACGGGGAGGAGCCCAGAGCCUGAAUCAGUGUGUGUGUUAGUGGAAGCGUCUGGAAAGGCGCGCGAUACAGGGUGACAGCCCCGUACACAAAAAUGCACAUAUUGUGAGCUCGAUGAGUAGGGCGGGACACGUGGUAUCCUGUCUGAAUAUGGGGGGACCAUCCUCCAAGGCUAAAUACUCCUGACUGACCGAUAGUGAACCAGUACCGUGAGGGAAAGGCGAAAAGAACCCCGGCGAGGGGAGUGAAAAAGAACCUGAAACCGUGUACGUACAAGCAGUGGGAGCCUCUUUUAUGGGGUGACUGCGUACCUUUUGUAUAAUGGGUCAGCGACUUAUAUUCUGUAGCAAGGUUAACCGAAUAGGGGAGCCGAAGGGAAACCGAGUCUUAACUGGGCGUUAAGUUGCAGGGUAUAGACCCGAAACCCGGUGAUCUAGCCAUGGGCAGGUUGAAGGUUGGGUAACACUAACUGGAGGACCGAACCGACUAAUGUUGAAAAAUUAGCGGAUGACUUGUGGCUGGGGGUGAAAGGCCAAUCAAACCGGGAGAUAGCUGGUUCUCCCCGAAAGCUAUUUAGGUAGCGCCUCGUGAAUUCAUCUCCGGGGGUAGAGCACUGUUUCGGCAAGGGGGUCAUCCCGACUUACCAACCCGAUGCAAACUGCGAAUACCGGAGAAUGUUAUCACGGGAGACACACGGCGGGUGCUAACGUCCGUCGUGAAGAGGGAAACAACCCAGACCGCCAGCUAAGGUCCCAAAGUCAUGGUUAAGUGGGAAACGAUGUGGGAAGGCCCAGACAGCCAGGAUGUUGGCUUAGAAGCAGCCAUCAUUUAAAGAAAGCGUAAUAGCUCACUGGUCGAGUCGGCCUGCGCGGAAGAUGUAACGGGGCUAAACCAUGCACCGAAGCUGCGGCAGCGACGCUUAUGCGUUGUUGGGUAGGGGAGCGUUCUGUAAGCCUGUGAAGGUGUGCUGUGAGGCAUGCUGGAGGUAUCAGAAGUGCGAAUGCUGACAUAAGUAACGAUAAAGCGGGUGAAAAGCCCGCUCGCCGGAAGACCAAGGGUUCCUGUCCAACGUUAAUCGGGGCAGGGUGAGUCGACCCCUAAGGCGAGGCCGAAAGGCGUAGUCGAUGGGAAACAGGUUAAUAUUCCUGUACUUGGUGUUACUGCGAAGGGGGGACGGAGAAGGCUAUGUUGGCCGGGCGACGGUUGUCCCGGUUUAAGCGUGUAGGCUGGUUUUCCAGGCAAAUCCGGAAAAUCAAGGCUGAGGCGUGAUGACGAGGCACUACGGUGCUGAAGCAACAAAUGCCCUGCUUCCAGGAAAAGCCUCUAAGCAUCAGGUAACAUCAAAUCGUACCCCAAACCGACACAGGUGGUCAGGUAGAGAAUACCAAGGCGCUUGAGAGAACUCGGGUGAAGGAACUAGGCAAAAUGGUGCCGUAACUUCGGGAGAAGGCACGCUGAUAUGUAGGUGAAGCGACUUGCUCGUGGAGCUGAAAUCAGUCGAAGAUACCAGCUGGCUGCAACUGUUUAUUAAAAACACAGCACUGUGCAAACACGAAAGUGGACGUAUACGGUGUGACGCCUGCCCGGUGCCGGAAGGUUAAUUGAUGGGGUCAGCGCAAGCGAAGCUCUUGAUCGAAGCCCCGGUAAACGGCGGCCGUAACUAUAACGGUCCUAAGGUAGCGAAAUUCCUUGUCGGGUAAGUUCCGACCUGCACGAAUGGCGUAAUGAUGGCCAGGCUGUCUCCACCCGAGACUCAGUGAAAUUGAACUCGCUGUGAAGAUGCAGUGUACCCGCGGCAAGACGGAAAGACCCCGUGAACCUUUACUAUAGCUUGACACUGAACAUUGAGCCUUGAUGUGUAGGAUAGGUGGGAGGCUUAGAAGUGUGGACGCCAGUCUGCAUGGAGCCGACCUUGAAAUACCACCCUUUAAUGUUUGAUGUUCUAACGUUGACCCGUAAUCCGGGUUGCGGACAGUGUCUGGUGGGUAGUUUGACUGGGGCGGUCUCCUCCUAAAGAGUAACGGAGGAGCACGAAGGUUGGCUAAUCCUGGUCGGACAUCAGGAGGUUAGUGCAAUGGCAUAAGCCAGCUUGACUGCGAGCGUGACGGCGCGAGCAGGUGCGAAAGCAGGUCAUAGUGAUCCGGUGGUUCUGAAUGGAAGGGCCAUCGCUCAACGGAUAAAAGGUACUCCGGGGAUAACAGGCUGAUACCGCCCAAGAGUUCAUAUCGACGGCGGUGUUUGGCACCUCGAUGUCGGCUCAUCACAUCCUGGGGCUGAAGUAGGUCCCAAGGGUAUGGCUGUUCGCCAUUUAAAGUGGUACGCGAGCUGGGUUUAGAACGUCGUGAGACAGUUCGGUCCCUAUCUGCCGUGGGCGCUGGAGAACUGAGGGGGGCUGCUCCUAGUACGAGAGGACCGGAGUGGACGCAUCACUGGUGUUCGGGUUGUCAUGCCAAUGGCACUGCCCGGUAGCUAAAUGCGGAAGAGAUAAGUGCUGAAAGCAUCUAAGCACGAAACUUGCCCCGAGAUGAGUUCUCCCUGACCCUUUAAGGGUCCUGAAGGAACGUUGAAGACGACGACGUUGAUAGGCCGGGUGUGUAAGCGCAGCGAUGCGUUGAGCUAACCGGUACUAAUGAACCGUGAGGCUUAACCUU
This 2904-nucleotide ribosomal RNA is filed under the name Escherichia coli. RNAcentral's name for it is "23S ribosomal RNA". It matches the Rfam family "Bacterial large subunit ribosomal RNA". Lineage: Bacteria; Pseudomonadati; Pseudomonadota; Gammaproteobacteria; Enterobacterales; Enterobacteriaceae. The record is from RNAcentral.